AAAGGAAUAGAACUUCAACUCCCCCAAAUUUUAGCUCCCAAACAGAGCUUUGGUUCCCAAAUUUCUCGCACCCAACUUCAAAAUCUACCCCGAUUCUCACAUGCACAUCUAGAAACAGCCUUUUUGUGAACCCGAAACUCUAAACACAGCCCCACUUGCCUGGAUCUUUCACCGGUGGGGAAGGGAGGAGGCGUCGGGCGAGCUAGAGUUCCACGGCCGGCAGUGGAGCUCCGAACAGAAGAUUUCGCUGCUGGAUGGAGGCACCGGUCGUGAGAGGCCGAGAUGAGGUCGGGUUUUUGGUGGAACGAAGCAAGAACAGGGGAGAAAAGAAGUGGGUGUUUCGGUAGAGAA
This 351-nucleotide long non-coding RNA is filed under the name Eucalyptus grandis. RNAcentral describes it as "long non-coding RNA (EGRA_LNC001024)". Lineage: Eukaryota; Viridiplantae; Streptophyta; Magnoliopsida; Myrtales; Myrtaceae. The record is from RNAcentral.